This 590-nucleotide ribosomal RNA is filed under the name Salmonella enterica subsp. enterica serovar Weltevreden. RNAcentral's name for it is "partial 23S ribosomal RNA". It matches the Rfam family "Bacterial large subunit ribosomal RNA", at positions 640 to 1230 of the family's 2925-position model. The record is from RNAcentral. Lineage: Bacteria; Pseudomonadati; Pseudomonadota; Gammaproteobacteria; Enterobacterales; Enterobacteriaceae.
GCAAGGUUAACCGCAUAGGGGAGCCGGAGGGAAACCGAGUCUUAACCGGGCGUUAAGUUGCAGGGUAUAGACCCGAAACCCGGUGAUCUAGCCAUGGGCAGGUUGAAGGUUGGGUAACACUAACUGGAGGACCGAACCGACUAAUGUUGAAAAAUUAGCGGAUGACCUGUGGCUGGGGGUGAAAGGCCAAUCAAACCGGGAGAUAGCUGGUUCUCCCCGAAAGCUAUUUAGGUAGCGCCUCGUGAAUUCAUCUCCGGGGGUAGAGCACUGUUUCGGCUAGGGGGCCAUCCCGGCUUACCAACCCGAUGCAAACUGCGAAUACCGGAGAAUGUUAUCACGGGAGACACACGGCGGGUGCUAACGUCCGUCGUGAAGAGGGAAACAACCCAGACCGCCAGCUAAGGUCCCAAAGUCAUGGUUAAGUGGGAAACGAUGUGGGAAGGCCCAGACAGCCAGGAUGUUGGCUUAGAAGCAGCCAUCAUUUAAAGAAAGCGUAAUAGCUCACUGGUCGAGUCGGCCUGCGCGGAAGAUGUAACGGGGCUAAACCAUGCACCGAAGCUGCGGCAGCGACGCUUAUGCGUUGUUGGGUA